CAUUAGUGAUAAUCAGUCAAAGCUACCGUGAAUGGGCAAAACAAAGGUUUUCAAAACCGUUCAUUAUCAAAAGUAAAUAACCCCUUGCCAUAAAACCUAUAUAAUUCCCAGAAAGUAGCAUUCAUAUAAAUAUAUCUUAAAACCUGUUAAAGAUAGCAAAUCUAUAAUCAUGCCACGUCAAAUAUCUCAGCAAGGAAAUAAGUAAGUCAGGUAAAAUAAAUCAAUAAGAGAUGGUACGUCAGCUGGAGUCAACUAAUGUGACUUGUACGGCUGGAUGUAGCACUCAUCAACUAGUUCUUUGCACACAAGUCAGAACCACCUAAAUUGGUCUGUACGACAAGCUGGGUGUAAAUAAUUACACUCAAGUGCUACGGUCACGUGAAGGCUGUGCGAAGUAUUGCAAGUCACCUACGAGUCGGAACCACCUAAAGUGGUCUGUACGAUAGGCUGCCACCUACCUUGGAUCCAAGGUGAGCGUGUGGUGUAAGAGGUGAAGGAUCAUGUGAAGGCUAGGCCCUGUCCUCGAGCGGAGCAUUAACACCGUGGUGCAAGAUAACAAUCUCUAAAUACAUCUCAAUACAAUUACUCACUACCAUCAUUACCAUUAAUAUACUCACCUGAAGCUUACCUGAGCGUUCGCAGCAUUGAGCAACAAUAUAUAUAACCAUACUAAUGCACAAUUAAACAUGGAGAGCAUUAGACAUGGCAUUUCAACAUAUAAAAUCAUUUAAUUAAAGUUUCUGGGAAAAAUACCAAGUAUAUAUAUACUGAAAACCAAAAGCCACUCACUGAUAUGUGGAAAGGUCGUAACCCCCGAGCCUUCCUUGACUGCGCUCGU
RNAcentral lists this long non-coding RNA (838 nucleotides) under Malus domestica (apple). Its description in RNAcentral is "long non-coding RNA (MDOM_LNC016711)". The record is from RNAcentral. Lineage: Eukaryota; Viridiplantae; Streptophyta; Magnoliopsida; Rosales; Rosaceae.